Non-coding RNA from Cricetulus griseus (Chinese hamster), 331 nucleotides. The record is from Rfam. Lineage: Eukaryota; Metazoa; Chordata; Mammalia; Rodentia; Cricetidae.
GGAGGUGAUGGCAAUCUGGCUGCAGGAUCUGUCAUGCCAUUGAUUGUCAGGGUUGAUUGGCUGAUCUGGCUUGCAAGGUGGGCGUCCUCUUCCUUCCUCACUGCUCUCUGUGUGUCCCUGCCAAAGCUGUGCAUUUGGUUGGAUGAGGACGUAGGACCAGUCUUUUGUUGAGGGUACAGGAGUAGCUGUAAUCUCCCACUAGAACCUCCCAGUAAGCUUUCAAAGGCCCUGUGUCCAGUGACUUUCAGAGUUAAACUUCAACAUUUGUAUGGGGGCGGGUGUCAAGGUUAAACAGGGGCCAACUGUAGAAAUCCUGAAUUUGGUAGUAUCU